This 402-nucleotide ribosomal RNA is filed under the name uncultured bacterium. RNAcentral describes it as "bacterial SSU rRNA". It matches the Rfam family "Bacterial small subunit ribosomal RNA", at positions 355 to 774 of the family's 1533-position model. The record is from RNAcentral.
UGGGGAAUCUUGGACAAUGGACGCAAGCCUGAUCCAGCCAUGCCGCGUGAGUGAAGAAGGCCCUAGGGUUGUAAAGCUCUUUCGGCGGGGACGAUAAUGACGGUACCCGCAGAAGAAGCCCCGGCUAACUCCGUGCCAGCAGCCGCGGUAAUACGGAGGGGGCUAGCGUUGUUCGGAAUUACUGGGCGUAAAGCGCACGUAGGCGGGUCGUUAAGUCGGGGGUGAAAUCCUGGGGCUCAACCUCAGAACUGCCUUCGAUACUGGCGACCUUGAGUACGGGAGAGGUGAGUGGAAUUCCCAGUGUAGAGGUGAAAUUCGUAGAUAUUGGGAAGAACACCAGUGGCGAAGGCGGCUCACUGGCCCGUAACUGACGCUGAGGUGCGAAAGCGUGGGGAGCAAACA